Molecule: ribosomal RNA, 484 nt
Filed under: uncultured bacterium
Lineage: Bacteria
Description: partial 16S ribosomal RNA
Rfam family: Bacterial small subunit ribosomal RNA
Source: RNAcentral
AUUGAACGCUGGCGGCAGGCCUAACACAUGCAAGUCGAGCGGUAGAGAGAAGCUUGCUUCUCUUGAGAGCGGCGGACGGGUGAGUAAUGCCUAGGAAUCUGCCUGGUAGUGGGGGAUAACGUUCGGAAACGGACGCUAAUACCGCAUACGUCCUACGGGAGAAAGCAGGGGACCUUCGGGCCUUGCGCUAUCAGAUGAGCCUAGGUCGGAUUAGCUAGUUGGUGGGGUAAUGGCUCACCAAGGCGACGAUCCGUAACUGGUCUGAGAGGAUGAUCAGUCACACUGGAACUGAGACACGGUCCAGACUCCUACGGGAGGCAGCUGUGGGGAAUAUUGGACAAUGGGCGAAAGCCUGAUCCAGCCAUGCCGCGUGUAUGAAGAAGGUCUUCGGAUUGUAAAGCACUUUAAGUUGGGAGGAAGGGCAGUAAAUUAAUACUUUGCUGUUUUGACGUUACCGACAGAAUAAGCACCGGCUAACUCUGUG